UCCGGAGGAUCCAAGCGUUAUCCGGAACCACGGGGUUGAAAGGGUCCGUAGGUGGAUAGUUAAGUCAGAGGUGAAAUCCUGCAGCACAACUGUAGAAUUGCCUUUGAUACUGGCUAUCUUGAAUCAAUGUGAAGUGGUUAGAAUAUGUAGUGUAGCGGUGAAAUGCAUAGAUAUUACAUAGAAUACCAAUUGCGAAGGCAGAUCACUAACAUUGCAUUGACACUGAUGGACGAAAGCGUGGGGAGCGAACAGG
Molecule: unclassified non-coding RNA, 253 nt
Filed under: uncultured Flavobacteriaceae bacterium
Lineage: Bacteria; Pseudomonadati; Bacteroidota; Flavobacteriia; Flavobacteriales; Flavobacteriaceae
Description: contains 16S-23S intergenic spacer region
Rfam family: Bacterial small subunit ribosomal RNA
Source: RNAcentral